Molecule: ribosomal RNA, 653 nt
Filed under: Enterococcus cecorum
Lineage: Bacteria; Bacillati; Bacillota; Bacilli; Lactobacillales; Enterococcaceae
Description: bacterial SSU rRNA
Rfam family: Bacterial small subunit ribosomal RNA
Source: RNAcentral
GCAUUUUCUUUCACCGUAGCUUGCUACACCGRAAGAAAAUGAGUGGCGAACGGGUGAGUAACACGUGGGUAACCUGCCCAUCAGCGGGGGAUAACACUUGGAAACAGGUGCUAAUACCGCAUAAUUCCAUCUACCGCAUGGUAGAUGGAUGAAAGGCGCUUUUGCGUCACUGAUGGAUGGACCCGCGGUGCAUUAGCUAGUUGGUGGGGUAACGGCCUACCAAGGCUGCGAUGCAUAGCCGACCUGAGAGGGUGAUCGGCCACACUGGGACUGAGACACGGCCCAGACUCCUACGGGAGGCAGCAGUAGGGAAUCUUCGGCAAUGGACGCAAGUCUGACCGAGCAACGCCGCGUGAGUGAAGAAGGUUUUCGGAUCGUAAAACUCUGUUGUUAGAGAAGAACAAGGAUGAGAGUGGAAAGUUCAUCCCUUGACGGUAUCUAACCAGAAAGCCACGGCUAACUACGUGCCAGCAGCCGCGGUAAUACGUAGGUGGCAAGCGUUGUCCGGAUUUAUUGGGCGUAAAGCGAGCGCAGGCGGUCUUUUAAGUCUGAUGUGAAAGCCCCCGGCUUAACCGGGGAGGGUCAUUGGAAACUGGGAGACUUGAGUGCAGAAGAGGAAAGCGGAAUUCCAUGUGUAGCGGUGAAAUGCGUAG